This is a non-coding RNA of Cherax quadricarinatus, 1844 nucleotides long. Lineage: Eukaryota; Metazoa; Arthropoda; Malacostraca; Decapoda; Parastacidae. The record is from RefSeq and is a predicted model, not a curated record.
AUUAACCCUUAAUAACAUCAACACGCUGGGCUGGUCUGUGACGCUCACUCAUCUCUCUCACCACAACUUAAUAUUAACUUCAUCAAGUUAACUCUUGCCAAGUUUCCUCCUCAACACGCUGAUACUUCAGUUCAUCUUUAUCCCAGAAGAAUUAAACUUGCAAUGGGAGCUCCCAGUGACAUAAUGGUGGUAUGAAACCCACGCUUUAUAUGGUAUGUCAUCACUGAGUUUGAUGAAGUACACCAGUGUGGGACACCUUACAUCCACAGUGUCAACUACACCAGUGUGGGACACCUUACAUCCACAGUGUCAAGUGCAAGUUUACAUCAGUCAUUCAAAUAUUCUUAUAUGCACUCUUCAUUUAAAGUAUUGUAUGAACACAAUCACUGCUUUGUAAAUCCUUUUAUCAAAGAAAAUAUGAUCAUUUAGAUAAAGACAUCAAUACUAUAAAUUUGUGUUCCAUAUUUAAGCGUUACAAUUGUUAAUCUUUCAUAGUGAUAUCUUUUAAAAUAAAGUAAUUUUAUAACCAAAAAGAUGUCUUCUCACAUUGAAGGUGUAGUUUUGAUUAUAUAGAUUAUAUAAAUAUUGUGUGUAUGUGAAGCUGUUUCGUGCUAUUAUUUACAAUGGAAGUACAGGAACCUCUUUGAAUAAAAACUCUAUGACUGGGGAACACCUCCACUACCACUCCCUUGGCUGUAAUAUUUGACAGUUGUUGCCACAGCCUGUUCUAGCUGAUGAUGGCCAGUAUACCUGCUGGAUAGCAUAUACAAAUAAACACUAGGAAACAUAAGUGCUCCAAGUAACAAGAUGGUGGGCACCAAGAAGAAGCAUAAAUAAUUGAAGCUUUCCAUAAAAUUGCUGACAGUAAAAAUAUAAAUUUGAAUCAUGUGAAUUACGAAGGAUGGGGAUUGUGAGGCAUGUGGAUGACCAAGCAUGUUGUUGAUAAACCUCAUGGAUUAUGAAGCAUAUGUAUUACAGAUUACAUAAAUUUCAAGGUAUGUGAAUUAUAAUGGCUGGAGAUUGCCAAGCAUGUGGAUGAUGAAACAGUGAUAAUGCACGUGGAUUAUAAAGGGUGGAAAUUGUGUAGCAUAUAGAUUAUGAAGAAUACUAACAUAGCACAUGGAUUAUGAAAGAUGGAUUGCAAGUGAUCAGCUGCCUUUGAGCAGCAACAGGGACUUGGCAUGCAUUGCUGGUCUGCUCUGCACUUUUAUUUUGUUUAGAUGCCAGAUUAAACAAGAUUCCCAGAUAAUGUUGGAAACUAACCACUCCCUGGAUAAUUGAUGAUCUGCAUGUAUUUAAUUUCUCUUAUUUCAUUAUGUAUUUUUUUAAAAUAUUUAACUUGCUCUGUGUAGCAUCAAAUUUAAUAAGCCUUACAUAAGGGCUCCUGAGAAUAUGGCUUCAUUGCUCUAUUGAAUGCCAUAAAUGGUAGACGUAUUCCGCCUCUGAGGUCGACAAAAUCGUGAUGUUGUCACGUUUAUACCUUUAACAAGUACAUUUUUACUAAAAAUACUUUAAAUAAAAAUGUACACUACAGUUGAAUAUUACAGUACAAAUAAAAUCUAGAUAAAAUUGAGACAAUAAUUUGUCCCAGUGUGGAUGUCCAUAAUUCCACUGGAUGGCAGACUUUUAUGUUUUUGUGUUGCAGCUAUAAUCUCAUUAUCUUUAAAAUGUUAGUUAGGACUCAAGCCAGAAGGCCACAGGCACAUUAAAAAUUUGUUUUGUAAUUUAAAAUUUCAGCCAUAUUCUUCAUGCUAAUUGCUUGUUUGCCAUACAUGCUGUAUUAUGUAUCACUCCCUUCAUGGAAGCACAGAUAUUCUCAAUAAAGAAAUCAGUCUAAUUUAAAA